UACGUAGGGCGCAAGCGUUAUCCGGAAUUAUUGGGCGUAAAGAGCUCGUAGGCGGUUUGUCGCGUCUGCCGUGAAAAGUCCGGGGGCUCAACUCCGGAUCUGCGGUGGGUACGGGCAGACUAGAGUGAUGUAGGGGAGACUGGAAUUCCUGGUGUAGCGGUGAAAUGCGCAGAUAUCAGGAGGAACACCAGUAGCGAAGGCGACACUCUGGGCCGGUACUGACGCUGAGGAGCGAAAGCGUGGGGAGCAAACAGG
RNAcentral lists this ribosomal RNA (255 nucleotides) under uncultured bacterium. RNAcentral's name for it is "partial 16S ribosomal RNA". It matches the Rfam family "Bacterial small subunit ribosomal RNA", at positions 524 to 776 of the family's 1533-position model. The record is from RNAcentral.